CAACCUUUUCACGGGUAUAAUCAUUUCAGAUUCUAUCUCUAAGGAGCAAUUAAACUUUGCUAAGAUGGAAAGUUCACUCAAAGCCGUGAUAUUGGUAAGAGAAAAGAACUUCAAAUGAGAGACUAAAAGUAUAUUGGUAUAAAAGAAAAUUCAGGUCUAGAAGAAGUAGAGCUUGUGCAAGAGAAAUAAUGACUGAAAACCACAUAAGCCCCAAGAAACCAACCAGGCCUUCAUGGUGGCUGGCGAUAAAGAUGAUGGAACACAGUUUUAAAGAACAAAUAGGGCACUAUUUUCAGUAAUCAAUUACUGCAAUAAGAGCCAAUGAUACUCCUUCAGGCUCCAAUGGAACUGGCUAACAAGCUUCUGCCAUGACUACAACUUCACAAAGUUAAAAAUAGUAAAGUUCCAAACACAAGAUGAUGAGUACUUUCUUCAGAUCACUCUUGUUGGAAUUUGUGAUUGUCGAUCCAUCUAAGAAUCCAUUUUCCACUCAAUAAUGAUUAUGAAAGCAAGAAAAAAAA
Long non-coding RNA from Dendrobium catenatum, 521 nucleotides. RefSeq lists it as uncharacterized. The transcript is spliced from 2 exons. The record is from RefSeq and is a predicted model, not a curated record. Lineage: Eukaryota; Viridiplantae; Streptophyta; Magnoliopsida; Asparagales; Orchidaceae.